Molecule: long non-coding RNA, 12248 nt
Organism: Mus musculus (house mouse)
Lineage: Eukaryota; Metazoa; Chordata; Mammalia; Rodentia; Muridae
Product: predicted gene, 31326
Exons: 2
Source: RefSeq, a predicted model, not a curated record
CGGCUCUCAAUGAAAGGUGGAACAGAUUACUUAUAAGUGACAGAUCGGGACCAGUUCCCGCACCAGGCACUCACAGAAGGCAAAGACGCUGAUUGAUGCCAACCAAAUGCAUUAGCAGAAAAGUGGUGGUCAAAUGGUAGGGUAGAUAUCAAUAUUUAUCAACUUGACAACUUUCCUGAGUGGAGGCCACUGUUAAGGUUAUAACUGACGGCUGUGGUCCACGGCCACAAGAGGGAUGAGGAUGGAGUUUGUUUUGUUUUGUUGUUUUUUUAAAAAAAAGGGGGGGGUGGAGAAGAAAUUGCUAUUAGAAAACCCUCAGGACAGAAGUGCCAACACAGUAUGCCAAAAAGAGAAAAUGUAAGGCGAAAGCUUAGAAAAUAUUAAUACAAGAAAGAACAACAUCUACACAGGAAAAAUGGGGUGGAAUGAAAGAAAAAUGGUAAUUGAAGCCCCCAUGCCUUCAGACACACUGAAGUAUGAAAAAACGAAUAAAAUGGUAGAUGAGAAAUACAUAAAAGAAUAUAGACCCUGUCACUGAUGUAUACAGUGCAAGAUAGAUAGGUGUGCUUAGGGACAAAAUAGAGAAUCGUCAUUGCAGAAAAACUACUUUCAAAAAGUAGAGGACAAGGGACAGAAAAGGCAACUGGAACCCAAGAACAAAUGGAUUCAUUUGAGAUGCAAUUUUUCAACGUGUUCCAUGUGUCAUUAAGUGAAGUACAGAAAUUGUUUCCAUCGUUCUGGGAUGGUGAAAGGUGGAGCCUCCAAAACACCGGCUGUAUGUUCCACCGCCACAUCCUUGCUGCGAUCUACCUAUAAAGGAGUCCGAUCAGCAGGGGUAGGCUGGAUGGGUCUGUCUCUAUGUGGGUGGUGCGAAUCCAGGCCGAGGCUGGGCUUUGGGUUUUAAAAACCUCAUCUCAGUACCGCAGCCACACCUAAUUCCCUACUGCCUCCGAGCCUUCCAGCCAUGUCCCAGUUCUGUCAUUUUCCAUCAGAAAAACAUCCAGUGCCUCUCUGAAUGUCUUGAUCACCUCCUUCUUUGGGACAGGACUGGAAAUCCUAACACGCAAUUCAAAGAAGUAAGAAAAAUACACUGAGGAAUGGGGGGUGGGGGGUGUGAAGAUGAGGGAGGUUAAGUCAAAGAAAGCCAAGUGAGGGAAGAAACAGAUUUCCCCAAAGGGUAGGUUCUUUUGUUCUUUGCAACACUGUUCCUGGUAUUCCAGGUUGCUUUUUUGGAGGUAGGUAAACCCACCCUAGAAGGCUUCUGGUCUUGGGACUGAUAGGUUAGGGAGACGCUUAGUGAAUAAAGUGAUUGUCCGUGAAAGUGUGACGACCUGAGAUUGAUCGCUAACAUCCAUGUAAAAUGUUGAAUGUAUGGCAUAGACCUGUAACCCCAGUGUUGGGGAGGAAGGGACAGGUAGAUAUCUAGGGCUUGCUGCCCAGCCAGCCUGGCCUAAAAUAGCAAGGUUCCAACGAGAGAUCUUAUCUAAAAAAAAAAAGGGUUGGACGACACAGGAGGAACAACAAAUAAGGUUAACCUCAGCCGCUGUCCAUCUGAGAGAUGUGCACACAUAUGCUCAUACACUUGACAAACACACACACACAUACACACUUGCCAACCCCCUCCCCUGCACACAAACAUGUACAUAUAUGAAAAACUCUACAAACCUGAUGAUGACUUUGGCUUUGGAAUACUCACACACUAACUAACAAAGCAGAGUAGAGCCUUCUCUCUGUCUCUGCCUAGUCGGUCGACAUCAUGAAACAUAAGCAACAAACUCCCUGCUUGAGAACCAUGCAAUUGAGUUAAAAAAAUGUUUUUUGUAAAAACAAAACAAUCUCAUAAUGAUGUAAAUAAGUAUAUGAUUUUUGUCUUGGGCCAUAUUUAGCGUGACUCUCAGCUGAAGGAGGCCUGUUGGACCCCUGAAACGUUUCACUCCCUUAGGGAUAGCUGUAUGUACGUGCAUGAGUGAGAGAGUUCUUUAGUAGCAAUGGGCUAAAGGCAAAGUAGAGACAGGGUAUCACCAUUUUCCCACUUACAGUGCAGAACCCAGGAAGAGAACACUACAAUUGGCCAGACUGUGAGCUAUUGAGAUGCCCAGGGCAGUAUCUCUUUAAGCACCAGACUUGCUUAUGGUUCCCCUUGAAACUUCCCUAAAGGCCAUGUUAUAAAGGCAAAUGGCGUAUCUGGGAUAUGCCAAGAAUUACAUGAAAGAAAAAAGGAAAUUAAACAGGGGACAGAAGGUGGAAGGUAUAAGGUAUGUCCAUGAGCCACUGACUAUUGUGGGUUAUUACCACUGGCUUCAUCUUUACUCUGUGAGCUCUGCUGGGUAACCACAGUUUCAGAAUGGGCCCUCCUUAGGAAAGAGAGCUGAGGUGUUUCCAUAGUGAUUGGCAUAGUCAAAAUGCCAGUAACAUAGGUAAGAGGGAGGCUCUAGGGCCAGAGAAAGCAGUCAGGCAAAGCAACACAGAUGCUGAUGAUGGCGGUCAGACAUAACCCAUGGGAGGAUGAAGGAGACAGAUAAAGCAAAAUAAAAACACUCAAGGUGGAAAAAAAGAGGGUAAAAGGGACACCAGGAUAGUGUCAAUGAGCUGUGACCUUCCCUCCUAAUUCUGUAUAUCCCCUGGUGCUGAUAUCUGUAGAUGACAUUAGAACCCCAAAAUACUUUAUUAAUCCUGCAUGAUACAGCAAGUUCAGACUUAUCUCUUAUAACAGCUUCUCCACCAACAGGGGAAAUGUGACUUUCCUUUCAGCUUGCCUGUGAGAAUAAAGACCCUAUGACAAGUGGCAGGCCCAGUGCAGUGCCCCAUGUACUGUGAAGACUCCCCGACUAAUAGACUCAUUACUGUUAUCAAUUUUUUUUUCUUGGAUGUGUCCAGGGAGGUAAAAAAGGGAGUGAGGCCCGGUGGGCAGUGGGGGAAAUAUAAGCCAUUUAGGGUUAUAUUAGUUAUUUUCAAAAUAACUACCUUGUUAUUUUAGAUCAAGGGCUUUUAAAGAUGUAUGCUAAGCUGUCCUGAAGGAGUUCUUCCAUGGAAACUAAUUAAACAAUCUAGAAUGGGCUGUAAUGAAUGGCUUGCAAGUAAAGACAUAUAUGAGGAUGAAUGGGGAAGGAUUCUGAGCUAAUGAGCUUUACAGAUAUUGGUCCCAGCCAGUUUGGGGAAGAAGCUAUUCCCAGAAGGGAAAAGACUCAUCUCUUGACAGAGCCUCCAUUCUUUAGGCCAGUAAUGUGUCACAAAGUGCACUCAGAUGGGAAAAGUGUCUGCCCUGUGAUGACACAUGCUCUUAACUUCCCAAGAGACGUCUGAGGAAUUGAGAAGUGUGGAUUCAUGUGUGCCUGCAUUUGCACACACGUGAACAUACGUGGAACACCACAGCUGCUGUGCUGUGUCUGUGAGCUUUGGCUGUCACUGGGACAUUUCCCAGGAGCCAAGAAAGCUGCUAAAGCCCAAGACUCUGAUCUGUUGAACUCUCUAACCAAAAUGAAUGUCCUAAACCCUGCAUCUACUGCGUCCAUCGGAAUUACUCCUCAUUUUGCUUGACAUUGGGUAAAAGAAUUUAUGGAGAAAGGAAACUGGGAAAACUCAGUCAAAGUCUAAGAAAUGGCUCAAACUCAGCCUUUCCUCUAGCCACAGCCUCUUAAGCGUCCAGUAAGGCAGGAGGAAAAGAUGUCCCUCACCCAGGUCCUCCAACUGCAGGCAGGGGUCUAUGUGUUCUAAAUUAACAGAGUGAUUUGGCUAAGCACAUGAAUACAAUGGAUCCCCUUGCAAACACCUCCUCAUAUGAUGACAGAUCUCCUCAGACCAUGCUCCCAAGCUCUAGCCAGCGUCUCUCAAAUCCCAGAAGACGAGGAAGGGAAAAAAUUGCCUUUCGCUAGGCGGAACAGGUCAUUUGUCUUUCGGCUCAUUUUGUGUUUCUGCAUAAAUCCCGCAUCAGCCUGUUCCUGCUCCCACUUGCCAGUGAGCAGUUUUUAAUUAUCAGGAAAAUGGUAUUUAGUACAAUGAAUCACCAGACAGUGAACAGGGAUUCAAGUCAGCAGCAGAGGCAGGCACAGCCAACCCCUGGGAGACAGGUUUCAGAAGAUGUUCUCUGGUUGUGAAUGUUGGGAAAUAUUUUUAGAGGUGAUGAUGGCAAUAUUAGAUUAAUAGAUCCCCAUAAUAUGUGGCAUUUUAUAGUGACGGUGUGGCCUUCACACAAUUGUUAUUAAUAGGAAUACUUUAGAAGUGUUAGCUAUGUUUGUGUUUCCGUUUUUCAUAGGUUCCAUAUCUUUGGCAUAAAAGGGGUAAAUGUGGACUUAAAUGUCUGAUUGUUAGUGCUUUAUUAAUAAGCAUACCCCCAGAUUUCUCAUCCCCUAGUUCACAGAUCUCCAAUAAAAAUCUAACUUGUAAACACGUUCAUGAAGAGCAUGGCUUCACUGCUGUCUGGUGCCUUCUCGUGUGACACCAAAUAUUUCUGGAAGCAGAAGACAUACUUUCCUACUGUCAGAGGCUCUGUACCAGAAGAUCAACCAGAAGUGGCUGAAGUGAGCUCUGGGGGAUACUAGAAGUCUUAUGUGGGGGUAUUUGAAAGGUUAUGGAGACAUUUACAAGCACUAGGAGUUCAGGGCAAAACAGAAAGCUCACAGUUGUAAAUUGCAGGUGACAUGUGGAGACUAAGAACUGGGGGAGACACCCACUGCCCUUGUCUAGGCACAGUGCGCAUUCUGAGUUUAGAACUAAUAGCAGUAGCAAGCACAUUUGCAGUCCACUUGUGACAACUGAUUCUAGAACUUGAGAAGUUCCAGCAAAAACCAGCUGGCCUCUAGCUGGGAGAGGACUGCUAGAAUCCCACAGGGUAGUGUCAGAGAAUGAGGGGACUCGGUUGUUUUCAAUCAUUAAUAUACCUGUGUCCCAGCAGGCUUUGAUGGUGUCUUAAGGAGAUGGGGAAGUUGGCCUGUUUGUACCUCAUUCUGGAUCCAAGAGACUCACCCAACUUCACCCAGGCGUUUGAGCAUGAAAUCAGAGCUACUUAGAAACAUGUGCAGCCCUUAAGGGACCAUCUCUGUUACUGUGCCUUAGAACUCUGAGCAUCCUUCCUUCUGCUUCAACACUGCUAGACAUCCAACCGGCACUGGGAUCUAUGGAAAAGCCAUGCUCUCGGGGCUCUUCACGUGAUUGAGAAGUGGAAGAGGACAUGGAGAAGAACAAAGCUGGGCAGUGAGGAAGCAGUUCACACUCGGGGAGUGGACUGUAAACACUACAGAGAUUGGAGGAGGCAGAAGGUCAGGGAUGCCACUCUUCAAGCAUCCAUUGCUACAAGUUCUCAAGCCUUCACCUCAUGAUAGAGGAACCUCUUGAUGAACAGCUUCUGUGGACCAGGCAACAUACUAUCACUGAGACGCUGGCCACACCCAACCCGGCAGGCUGCUCUCUCCUCUGCACAGGUGCUUUGUGGAAUGCGUCCUUGAAACCAGGUCUCUAGGACAGUCCAUGACUCCGCGUAGGUUCUUACCAGCACAGAGAGCAGAGUCGAUGUAAACGUUUAAGACAGCCAAGUGUUUAAAAUGUGUGUUAUUAGUAUUCUUCAUCAGUAGUGCACUGGGAGUAAGCAUGUGAUCAGCUCGUGUUUUUUUUUUUUUUCCACACAAAUAAAUAGUAAGCGGCAUGUCUCCCUAUUUGUACUGCUUCCGUUUUGUUUCAACCUAAACACUCGGUUCCAGAUUUAGCCCGCUAACAUUUUGUCUUGCAGAUUUCAAAUUAGCAUUCAAAGCUGUUGGGUAGCUCUGAAUUUUGAUUCUGUCUUUUAUGGCGUUACUUCUGCUUCCCAACUGUUACCUACAAACUCGAUCAGCAACCCCACGUUGGUGUCUGACUCGUGAAGUUUAAAAAAGCAGUCAAACAGUCGAGGACUGAAUAGGACAAGCGCUGGAAUAACGUCAGGGACCUCUCUCCUAAGGGAAUGACAGUCACUAACUCACUUUCUCUCCAUAUGAAGACAGUCUGUUUCUAGUUAACAAUGCCUUCCAUUAGGAGACCAUGAGAUAUUUUUGCCAAAAAACAAACAUUCACCACCCAUAAUUCUUGAAUUUACUAAAUAUAUGGUCUAAUUAAAAGAGACAAGGUCCCAUAAUUAUUUUCUUAAUUACUUCUUUUCUCUUCCUAAUGAUGACAGAAUUCAAAUUCCUAUUCCCAGACCCAUGUGAGUCACAGUGCCUCUGGGCAUCUCUCAGGGCCUGAACUCUGCCCUCUCACUGCCCCUUUGCUUGGUCAGAAGAUUAGAGUGGUUUCCACUCACAAGUGUUAUAGUUAGUUUUAAUGUCUACUUGCCACAUAUCAGAAUCACCUGACUAAGGAGCCUCCCUUGGAAAGCAUCCUGGUUUCUUUGAUUGAUGUGCGGAUGGGUGUUACCUUCUGGUAUUGGUGCAGAUUAAAAAAGGGUGUGGCAGAGAAAAUUUAUUUCACCUACCUUUUGCUUGCCUGGCUUCCCUCUUGCCAUUGAGUUAAUCUGUCCCAUUGCUGCUGCUGAUUCCUAUGCUAAUGUUAGGACCAAUGUGCCCAGGUUUUCUUUGGGACUAGGGACCAGCACUUCUCCAGGAACCUUCAGAGCUUCUAGUGCCAGACUGAGACUAAGUGCUGAGUGUUCCAGCCUCAAGGACAGAGUACUUACCAGGUUCUCAGCUUCCAGGUAUGAUUCUCUUGUUGUCUGUCUGUCUGUCUGUGUGAUAGUGAAUGUGUGUCUCUCUGUGUAUGUCUGUGUGUAUCUCUGUAUGUGUGUGUGCAUGUUUGUGAGAGUGUGUGUGUGUGUCUGCCUGUGUGUGAUUAUUCAUCCCAUUGGUUCUGUUACUCUGACAGACAAAUACUCUGAACCCUGACAAAUACAGGUCCAUACCUCAUUUAUGCUUUUUCAAAACAUGAAAGUAGAGACUCUAAUUUAUAUCUUCUACUUGAGGUAGUUUUCUUAGGACUGUUUUCCUAAAGCCCUUAAUCCAUUCACAAGCCCCAAUCUCCCUUUAUCUCCAUCCUCUUGGCUCUCACGCAGUUUGGAAAUUAGGAAUGACCUAAGUUCCCUGGACACCUGUUUGUAUUUCCUAAAAUGCCAACUAUUCUCCUCCGUGCAUAACUAUUCUUUUUUAGUCUACCUCCUGACACCUACGUCCCGAUGUUGGAUUCCUAAGCCUCCCUGCUUCACCUAGAUCAAACUGCCCAUCAUCUGUAAUCAUCCAAUAGUUUAUGAGAAUUGGACCGAGAACCAUGACGACACUGUCUACACAUUCCUGAGUGUGAGAAGCUUAUGCCCCUUUCUAUCUGCCCUUGACCAUGAACCCCAGCUCACUAAUUCUUCAUCAGACUCACUGACAACACAUACAGCACAUCGUCUUGCCAGAUUCUCCUCCAGCAAGUGUCUUUCCACCAAUCCAAAUUCCCCUUUACAUCUCUGUUCACUAACUUCUGGGGCAGCGGUUCUCAACCUGUGGGUUACAGUCCCUUUUGGGGAGGGGAGUCCCAUACCAUUUAUCUUGCAUCUCAGAUGUUUACAUUACAGUUCAUAACCGUAGCAAAUUUACAGCUAUGAAGUAGCAACAAAAAUAAUUUUACAGUUGGGAGGUCAUUACAACAUGAGGCACUGUAUGAAAGGGUCGCAGCAUCCAGAAGGUUGAGAACCGCUGAUCGAGGGUCAGAGAUGAAAUAGGAGCCGGUGACUGAAUGUAACCGGAAGUUUUGUUUUCAAUAACUAAAUCUGCCAUGCUUUGACUCGUUAGGGAAGAUGAGACUGCUGCACAUGUUUUUUUUUCUGCCUCUUUUUGCCUCUACAUCACAUUAAAAAGGAGGGUCUGGAAGACAAGAGCCACCUACUCCUUUGUAGUAUGUCCUGGAGAAACCAAGGAAGGUGGUGUCUCCAGGCACUGGAGAACAGAGCCGGAUACCUGCUGCAGAUAUUCUGUCAGUUCCCGUCCAGGAGGCCCUCGGAGUUCCGAAGCAGUCUAGACUCUAUGGAGGGUUAUGUGCCUGCAUUCACAGCUGAGCACAUUUGAGCCUCCUGACUCUUAGAAUGGGACUAGAGGUGGGAACUCAUAAACCACCAAUCUGGAAUUGUGGAAGAAUUGCAUCUGGGAUUAGACAUAGAUCUGCACCCAAGACCAGGCACACUGAGCCUCUAAGCCUCUGCAACAUGCAAAGAGAAUGGGGUCUACAGACAGACUCAGAGGGAGAACAAGCCACAUCUUCAAUCUUCAAGCUUUAUUACUGAAGAAAGACACUUGUCCUUCCUUCCUGGACUAGCAGCUGUCUCCUUGAGUCAAGGCGAGCUACCAGAUUAAGCUUUCCAGUAUAGACACAGAGGAAACCUUCCAUAGCCAUUCCUCCCGUCUCCACCUGUCUGCCCCUCCCUGCCAGCCAGACUCUUCCUUCACCAGAGCUUUACUGCCCUUGGUGUUCUGGGCUUUCCUCUAGCUGCAUGACCCUUUAAUCAUGAUCUUCCAGUAGCAAUGGCUUCAUAAAUGCACAGAUGAAACUCAGUGCAUGAGAGUGUGGGCUUAGAGAACCCAGGUGUGAGUGUGUGUGUGUGUGUGUGUAUUGGGGUUAGGGUUGGGGUUGCGGGUGCAGGGGUAAAUGUCAGGGGUUGGAUUAAAAGAGAAUAGCUAGGCACAGGGGAGAAGGGCAUUUAGAAAUGGCUCUUACACAUAAAACAGCCUAAGAAAUAACCAGAGCCUACUCUAAGAGAUCUACAUCCACCUAGCCAUAAUAAAUGAAGCUGGAGAACAAUAACUUCAGCCAUGCUCACUAGUAGUAGCAAUGACUCCAUGGCUGAAGACUUGGUGUACUUUUUUUUAUUUUAUUUUACAGAGCCUAGGAAGCAGAGACGCCUUCCCCUGUGGCUAUAUAAAUGAUGGAGUCCCCCCUCCCUGACUCCCACAUGGGGAGUCAUGAACAUUUUAGAAACACAACUUUGUAGAUCAAGUUGCCUGGCAGAGCCACCCUUCCAAAGAAGGACAGCCAAGUGUCAGUCUGAAGUUAGCCAAAAGAACAUUGGCAGCCUACCUACCCAGGAUGCCUGGGGAUCCUCUGUGUCCCACCUGAGGGUUGGCACACCUUGAGAAAGAGAAUUCUUGGCUGAGUCGUGUUGGGGCACUCUUAGAAAUCUCUAGGCUUCAAACCAAGAUUGCAUGUUUUGAACUUGAUCAUAUGUUCCUGUGUGGUCCCAAGUCUUCUGUUGGUCUAAUGUGACCAUCUAUACAUGUUUUAUCCAAAAGGUUCAAGAACCAGAUCUGAAAUGGACACCUAGUAGCUUAUCACAGCAAGGAGCUACCUGGAGCAGGUGAGGCAGCAAUGCCAGAAGCCCAAGAUAGACGGGGGAAGCCGAGCAUGGGAUUUGAGGCAAUUCUGAGGCACAAGGGUGGUAAACAUCGCCCAAGAGGCAGAUACCAAAGUCUGACUUCAAGAGCUGGCCCCGGGGAGUCCUGAUGUCAUAGGGUGGCUGCUCCUUGCGAUGCCUACCCUGUACACAUCCUGACUGCCAAAGGUUUGGUUUUAUAUAAACCUUCAGGUGUAUCUUGAUCUUGGCAGAAAAGGUAUAUCUACAGUAUGACCUUUUUGCAGCCCAAGCUUGUCCCCUCCACAUUAGAACAGGCAUUCCUUCACAGCGUGAUGGCAGCUGUGAACACUGCAUUGCUUUCUGUAUCAGGUGACCUUAGAGAAGAAACGCAGACCAGUCCAGGCGAGGUUUAGUCUUGGGAGCCAUUGUUACUAACAGAACAAGCCCAGUAAACACGAACCCAUGCUUCAGGGUAUACAUGUGUGUGGUAUCUGCACACUGCUGAGUGAGUGUUCAGGACAAAAAAAUGGUUUAGGACGUAAGAGGCAGAUUGUGGUGUGGUGUGGCUUACAGGGGUCAGCCCAGGGUGCUAGGACAGAUUUCUUGGGCCAUGUGUGGAAUUCAAAAGGAGUCAUUUAGAAACAGUGUCUUUUGUAAGUACCAGCUUCUGGAAGCAGGGAGGUGGCCCACCUAUCCCCUCCUGGAAACUGUUUUAGACUGCGGUGCUGGAAUCCUUCAGAGGAAAGAGCCAUAAUCCUGAUAUAGAAUUAUAUGUAUUUUGGUGAGGGAAAUUUGAUAUACAAAAAUAUUUAUGCCUAUGCUUAAAAGAGGCAGGGUUAAGAUAAUGAGUAAGAAAACUUUUCAAGGUACUGUUUGAAAGAAACCACUUGGGAGAUAGCCCAGCACUUCAGCCUUCUGGGCUCUGUUAUCUCCUUAAUUCCCUGCAUUCGUGUUCUAUAGCUUAUCUGUGAAUUUGGUUAACACAUUCCCCAGCCGCUCAAUUGGAUAAGAUAAGGCAGAAGAUGUUAAUAGAGAACCCUCCAUCUUUCCCCACUGAGAGCGAUUUCAGGAUUCAUUGACUUGCUAAACCCUGUCUUCCCCUGUCUCAAAUUUGGCUUAUCAGUGCAGAAGGUAAUCUUCCACCAGGGGUCCAGUGACUGCCCACAAAGGGCGUGCCGUGGACAGCCUGUGGUCUCCAGGGACUUGCAGAGAGAGGGACCACUUGGGUACCGAGGGCUUGUCAGACAUUUGCUGUUCUGUUUGACCCUCACUAUCUGGCUCUAAGGACCCAGGUCAGAGAGUGGGUAUGUUUUCUACUCACCUCGGCCUGUGCUGUAAUGUUGAAGCUUAUCACUGUACGCAGCCUCUUUGCUGUAAGCUCGUUUCCUGCAGACACAGAGAACAGGGACUUUCUCAGCAGGGUCAUAUCAAGGGCUCACGCCCAGACAUAGAGCUCACCCUGGGUGUCUCCUGGGACUGGGAACUGGGAGACACCCCACUUGAAGAUUUCAUCUCUGCCUUGCCUUAUACUCUGCUUGACCAGCACACAUUCCCUUGGGCAGAGGAUUCAACUCUCAAAUCAAGGACUUACGGGUACCAGAAAAGGCUGUGGGCAUCUGGCAAGAGGGCAGUGGUGAUGAGGACCCCCAUCUGGAGCAGUGAACGGCAGAACUGCUUAGUGAGAACCAGCAACAGGGCUUUGCCCGUGAUAUCUGGGCUAACCACCCAAGGCAGCAGCAAACAGUAUUAAAAAUUCACAAGGCCUCAGGCCAGUCGGUGUGCAGAGCUCAGCUUCCCCUGCCUCUUCCUCACCCCCUCUUCUGCCCGCCUGCCUUUUGCCUGCUGCCCAGGGCCUGAGCUCUCUAAGCAGAAGACUGCCCGUGCACAGCUGAGAUGCUCCAGUGGGUCAAAUGCAAUUUUGUAACUGUCACUCUGAAAAGUCCUUGUGCAUGAGGGGCUAAAAGUCCUGGCUGAAAUGAGGAUGGCAGACGGACGCUGCUUACUUAUAGUCUUGCCCAGUUCCCAUAACCAGGUUUUAUCCUAGGCACAGAGAAAAAUCAAUAAUCUUGAGAUUUCUAGGUUGCUGGCUACAGGACUUGUCCAGGCUGCCCAGUUUGGGAAGGGCCAGCGUGGGAUAACGGUGCGUGGAGAGGGGCUUCCUGGACUCAGGGAGAGCAGAGUAGAGGACCUACCUGCUGCAGACAAUAGAGAUGGCCACCAGAGACACAACAAAUACGACUCCAGCUGCUGCCGAGCCAGCAAUCAGGGGUAGCUGCUCUCUCAGCUCCGACUUGUAAUCAUCUAGGUGAGAAAGAAGAGGAUUAGAGUCCUCCCACGUGCCCCGUGCACGAGCUGGACUCGAUGCACAACACCAAGGACACCAGAUAUAUGCAUCCGCGUGGACCCCAGCUUCCAAUGCUUCAGAGUGGGGAACAGUCACAGAAACAAAACAUCAGGCAUAACUCUGGGAGCUCAUGAUGGUGACUAUCGUCUCCCUGGAGAUGGUGACUCUGAACCUUCACCCCCCCCCCCCAGCUCUGAAGGUUUCCCCAAGUCCUGUCUGCCCUGUUAAGAGUAAGUCCGAUGGAGGGGAAAUGAAAGCCGUUGCUGAAAGAGCUUAAGCUGUGGAAAUGCAGCUUGUCAACAGACUCAUUGAGCAGAUUUUUACAGUUUAUCUGUAGUCAGCCAGCUCUGCAGCAGGAGCUGUGGAGGAUGAAGAGAUGCCAGAGAAAUCGCCAAGCAUUUCGAGAUCCCACUUGACAAGUAAAGGACUGAGGUUUGUGCCAAGUGUUAAAACCAUGCUGCAUUACGGGUAGGGUGGAACACCCAAGGGUCACAGAGGUGGACAGAGAUGCCACAAUCUCUGGUGUUGCUGGUGUACCGUUUGUGAUCUUGGAGGAAUUAUUUCACCCUUCUGAUUCUCAGCCCUCUUGCCCGUUAAUAAAAGGCCAAACCAUGCGAA